Spinacia oleracea (spinach) is the source of this 2465-nucleotide long non-coding RNA. RefSeq lists it as uncharacterized. Lineage: Eukaryota; Viridiplantae; Streptophyta; Magnoliopsida; Caryophyllales; Amaranthaceae. The record is from RefSeq and is a predicted model, not a curated record. The transcript has 4 exons.
GCCGUCUAGCAUCUUGAUCAACACACAUAGCCAAAGCUGCUUCACCGGCGCUAACCAAUUGUUGCCGGCCAUCACAGAGUCGUUAUCUCCUCUCUCCCUAUAAUGUGUCAGUUCGUAUCUCUGUUCUUCUCUCUCGAAAAUCUCUCGUCCCCACAUCUUCUUCUCUUUCCUCCUUGUGCUUCGAACUGCUACGGUGCUGGUAUCAACGAUGUAGGUAUUGUGGACAGUGAUGACACCGCUCGCGGCGCUUCAAUCUUAUGCUUAGGGUUUUGAUUUUGGCUUUAUUGGAAGAUAUUGUCGUCGCUUGAACCAGAAGAUGCUGACAUUAGAAUUCAUGUUGUGCAAGUUGUUGCAAAUUCGGCUGCAGAAGAACAAAUCAGGAGAAGAUUGUAGAGGCAGGUGGGAUUACUUCCUUUCUGAAUCUUCUAAGAAGCUCUGAGGAUGAGACCAUACAUCGAGUUGCUACUGGUGCUAUUGCAAAUUUAGCAAUGAACGAAACCAACCAAGAGCUGAUUAUGGGCCAAGGAGGUGUCAGUUUACCGAUUACUAAUGCAGAGGAUCCCCAAACCCCUCGCAUGAUUGCUGGAGCAGUCGCUUACCUUUGUGGCAAUGGUAACCAUGAAUUUCAUAAAUGUUUGAGUUCCGAAGUGUCUUAAUUGAAAUUUAUUGUUUUUUUCUUCUUGUAUAGAAGGACAUUGGGGUCUUAGAUAUUGGAUCUCAAGCAGUUUCAAAUUGUCUCAAAAUAAUGUGAUCUAUAUGUGCCGGCACAUAUAGAUCACAUUAUUUUUUUUAGAGUUGAAGAUUACAGAGUUAUAUUAAUAAAAGCACUUAUAAGAGGAGAAAUUCAAUUACGAACCUAGGAAUUCAGGAUUUACACAGUGAUUUGAGAAAUUAAGCAAAGUACAAUGAAAAAAGAGAGCUAGAACAGACCAUUUAGUGUUAUUUUAGACAGAGGUAACAUUUCUUUGACCCUUCCAAGUAAUAAUUGCUUAAGUUUUGACGGGAUGCGUCUUCUAAAAGACGCUCCUAUAUACACAGUUCACGAUAACAGCAUAUAUAUAUAUAUAUAUAUACACACUAUAUUAUACUUUUAACACUUUUGAUAUAUUGAUUAUGUUAAUAAUCUUUAUUUUGAUGCAAUUGAAUUUGGUUGUUUGAUUUUGUAACUACUCUUUGUUUGGAUGUAAUUCAAUCAAGAACGACAUCCUAUGACAUUUUUAGUACUCCUAUUAAUUUUAGAAGCGUUUUUUCUGCUUUGUUCUUAUCUCCCUUAGCUAGCGAUGUGAGUCAAAUGACAGAGUUAGUGUCCUUUUACUCACAAGUCAUAAAUAAUUACGGAUUAUUUAAUUUGUAUCUUACAAGAACAUUUGCAGGCUUGGUUAAUUGCUUGAGGUUCAGCAGGCUUGAGCUGUUGGUAUUUUUCUAGUAUUGUAGUCUUUGGGUUGCAGUCUUGGCUUUUUGUGCAGUGAUUCGGUCGGUCAGGUUAGCAACAGGUUAUAGGAAGCAGGUUUUAGGUUUUAUGUUUUGUGCAGGUGCUUUGUUGGCUCAGUUUGUUUGUCUAUGUUUGAUGGCUUGGUUGAUCUGAUAUAUGGUGUUGCUGUUUGUUUUGUGUUUCACCUAGAAUGCUGAUUGUCAGUUUUAGGCUUGGUUGAAGUUGUAACUACACAGCGUGACCUGCAUUUGCCAUCUAAUCUGGCUCUGCUAAUUUUGGUGUUGGCUGCGGCAGUUUUAUGGUGUUGUGGUUUAUUUUUCUACAGGUUAGGAUUCUGUAAUGAGGAUUAUGUUUAAGCAUUGCCUUGUCUUGAUUAAAUAUUGGUUGAGCUGCUGACUUUUCUGUUGCUGGAAGAUGGUGAAGACUAUUGGGACUGCUCAGGGAUGAGCAGCAAAAAAGUGGGCAUCCAAAAGUAACUUCAAAAACUUGCUCGGAAUCCUGUUGCGACAGGUCUCGAUUCCGAUUCUCGAAUUGUGGAGUUGAAAUCUGUUGGUAACCUGAUCAUAUCGGUUAUUAUUUUUAACCUAUUGCAACAAGUUCUAAUUUUGGUUUCCGUUUCCAGAAACAGGUUACAAAUAUUUUCCAAUUUUAAAAAAAUUUGGCACGCUAUCUUGUGUUGGGCUGCUCAACGGUAAUGCUCACCCCUAGGACUGCUUGGCUGGCUGUUUGGGAAGUGUUGAAUUUUCUUUUCUAGAAUUUGGUGGUCUCGGCCGAAGUUGACCGUGGUUGACUUUUUGUUUUUUUUGGUUAAUAAAUUGCUUACUUACCAAAGAAAAAAUUGGUGUUUAUGGAUGAGAAUCAUGCAGACGUAAGGGAAACCAGUUGAAGAUGAAAAGAUAGAAGACAUUUAGUUUUGGAUAUGAUCAUUUGACUUUAUUUUGAACAUAAUAAUGUAAUUUUCAUAGACCGUACAUCAAAUACUAUUAUUUUAAUUUGUUAAUUUGUUAGGGAGCGGGUGUGCUCCCUUCCUUUA